This is a long non-coding RNA of Sander lucioperca (pikeperch), 213 nucleotides long. RefSeq lists it as uncharacterized. NCBI's taxonomy places the organism in Eukaryota, Metazoa, Chordata, Actinopteri, Perciformes, Percidae. The transcript has 3 exons. The record is from RefSeq and is a predicted model, not a curated record.
CGGGAGGAAAAAAAAAGAAAAAGAAAUCGGCUUAAAUAGGAAAUUAAAGUUUGAAAAAUAUGUAUGGUAAAGAAGACAACGAUUGAGAAUAGACACCAGGAGGAAAGCAACCAAAAAUCAUGCACACAAAAAAAAGGAACUCCCAUUUUCCAAGGUAUUCAAAAUCAGCCUCAGGAGAUCUAAAUGUGCCGGCCACAUGCCAGCUGUCAACGC